RNAcentral lists this ribosomal RNA (1009 nucleotides) under uncultured bacterium. RNAcentral's name for it is "bacterial SSU rRNA". It matches the Rfam family "Bacterial small subunit ribosomal RNA", at positions 56 to 1060 of the family's 1533-position model. The record is from RNAcentral.
UGCAGUCGAGCGGGGAGAUGUAGCUUGCUACAUUUCCUAGCGGCGGACSGGUGARUAAUGCUUAGGAAUCUGCCUAUUAGUGGGGGACAACGUUUCGAAAGGAACGCUAAUACCGCAUACGCCCUACGGGGGAAAGCAGGGGAUCUUCGGACCUUGCGCUAAUAGAUGAGCCUAAGCCAGAUUAGCUAGUUGGUGGGGUAAAGGCCUACCAAGGCGACGAUCUGUAGCGGGUCUGAGAGGAUGAUCCGCCACACUGGGACUGAGACACGGCCCAGACUCCUACGGGAGGCAGCAGUGGGGAAUAUUGGACAAUGGGGGGAACCCUGAUCCAGCCAUGCCGCGUGUGUGAAGAAGGCCUUUUGGUUGUAAAGCACUUUAAGCGGGGAGGAGGCUCUUCUAGUUAAUACCUAGGAUGAGUGGACGUUACCCGCAGAAUAAGCACCGGCUAACUCUGUGCCAGCAGCCGCGGUAAUACAGAGGGUGCGAGCGUUAAUCGGAUUUACUGGGCGUAAAGCGUACGUAGGCGGCUUUUUAAGUCGGAUGUGAAAUCCCUGAGCUUAACUUAGGAAUUGCAUUCGAUACUGGGAAGCUAGAGUAUGGGAGAGGAUGGUAGAAUUCCAGGUGUAGCGGUGAAAUGCGUAGAGAUCUGGAGGAAUACCGAUGGCGAAGGCAGCCAUCUGGCCUAAUACUGACGCUGAGGUACGAAAGCAUGGGGAGCAAACAGGAUUAGAUACCCUGGUAGUCCAUGCCGUAAACGAUGUCUACUAGCCGUUGGGGCCUUUGAGGCCUUAGUGGCGCAGCUAACGCGAUAAGUAGACCGCCUGGGGAGUACGGUCGCAAGACUAAAACUCAAAUGAAUUGACGGGGGCCCGCACAAGCGGUGGAGCAUGUGGUUUAAUUCGAUGCAACGCGAAGAACCUUACCUGGUCUUGACAUAGUAAGAACUUUCCAGAGAUGGAUUGGUGCCUUCGGGAACUUACAUACAGGUGCUGCAUGGCUGUCGUCAGCU